Molecule: long non-coding RNA, 590 nt
Organism: Gordionus sp. m RMFG-2023
Lineage: Eukaryota; Metazoa; Nematomorpha; Gordioida; Chordodea; Parachordodidae
Exons: 3
Source: RefSeq, a predicted model, not a curated record
CCUAUAAUUCCCGCUUUUGUGAUUACAAUAAAUAAAAGUCAAGGACAAACUUUUGAUCAUGUAGGCUUAUUCCUCCCUGAGCCCGUCUUUGCCCAUGGACAACUAUAUGUGGCUCUUACUAGAUGUAAAUCUCAAAAUAAUAUGAAAAUUAUGAUUUUGCCAUCAGAAUUACAAGGAAAAAUUUUAAAAAAUGAUAAAACAUUCACACAAAAUAUCAUAUAUAAUGAAAUCUUAAAUUCAUAAUUUGUAAGAAAUUUAAACCAACUUUGUUAUUCACCAUCAAAUCACCAACUUUACAUCAUCUUCAAAAACGAAACCACCUUGAGCAAAGAAAAGAGAACUUCUUCACCAUCGCUAAACCAUCUUCCUCACCAACAACAGUUAUUUACGGCAAACUACGAGCAAGGAAAUUUCAACAUCAUCUUCAAAAACGAAACCACAUUGAGCAAAGAAAAGAGAACUUCUUCACCAUCGCUAAACCAUCUUCCUCACCAACAACAGAUAUAUACGGCAAACUACUGGCCAUGGCAAAACAUUAACAAAUAAAAGUCAAGAUACGGUGAUAUACCCGACUAAUGCUUAAAAUUCUU